GUUUCACAUUUCACCCUUGUGCCCGGGCGAAACUAGGACAGACUACAACACCUUGCGCAGAGCCAGAAACUUAAAAGAGGCAGCAUCUUACCUGAGAAAAAUAUUCUUCUGAAAUGCGUGCAGCCCACUCGAUGCAGUACUGCAGUGGUCGGCAGGGAUUGGACACAUCAGCACAUUUAAUCAGCAUUCGUUUAAUUAGAGUCCGGUUCUCUGGAGUCCUAAGCAUGUUCUAGGCACUAGGAAGCACAUAUGCCCCCAUGGACUGAACUUCUGAUGUCACAGGCCAGAGAGAAAACAGAGGAAACUAUCUAGCAAGCCAAAGCCAAACAGCCUCUUUUUGUGUCUAUGACAAUAAGCCUUUAUAAUUAUUCAGCUUGCCAUUCUCUAGGAGUAAAAACGUUCUGGAAGACAAUGCCACAGAAUGCUCUUUGUUUCAUAUAUGGCAGGAAUAAAACAUUCAACUCACCAAUAACUGAAAUCCACAAAUUUCUGGUUAAAUUUUUCAAGGUACCCUCUGGGGCUUUGCACUGCUAUGUUUAAUCUAGAAUGAUUAGUAAAUAUCUUAAAUGAUUAGUAAAUAUCUUAAAUGAGGCAGGAUGCAACUCUUAGGUUCUAAAAUUUGUUUAUUUUUGUUGUUCUUGUCAAGAUAUGGUUCCUUUGGGGUGAGGAGAAGCCUGGGCAAUGUCGAGGCAGAAAAAACAUUAACAUCCUGGGUAUCUCCUGGGUAUCUCCACGAACAAUCCCAUCAGGCUAAAUGCUGCUUCCCAAAGUCAUGACAAGACCAGGAACUGUCCCAGAGACUGAUGUGUCAACCAAGGAGAGACAAUGUCCAAGGUUAACCAAUCCAGGGAGUUUCAAAUGUUUUAAAUUUGGGGACCCAACUAAACUUAUAAUUUUGGUGAUCAUAGGACUGCCAACUUUCCAUUUUACCCAAUGAAGUCAUUAAACCAAAAAUAAAAACUGCUAUUUAUCACCGUCAUAAAAGGACUUGUUUUCAUUUAAAAAUAAUUGACAUAUGCUUGUAACAAACAACAGAGAUCUAUUUUACCACAAGGUGACUACAGUUAAUAACAACAUACUUUUGAAAAUCGCUAAGAGUAGAUUUUAAGUGUUCUCACCACAAAAAAAAAAAAAAAAAGUGUAUCAGGUAAUACAUACGUUAAUUAGCCUCAUUUAGCCAUUCCACAAUGUACAGAUAGGUCAAAACGUCAUGUACAUGAUAAAUAUACAUCAUUCUUACUUGUCAAUUAAAAAAU
Cebus imitator (Panamanian white-faced capuchin) is the source of this 1256-nucleotide long non-coding RNA. RefSeq lists it as uncharacterized. NCBI's taxonomy places the organism in Eukaryota, Metazoa, Chordata, Mammalia, Primates, Cebidae. The record is from RefSeq and is a predicted model, not a curated record. The transcript is spliced from 3 exons.